UACGGAGGGUGCGAGCGUUGUCCGGAAUCACUGGGCGUAAAGGGCGCGUAGGCGGCCUGAUAAGUAGGGGGUGAAAUCCUGCGGCUUAACCGCAGGGCUGCCUUCUAAACUGUCAGGCUAGAGCACAGUAGAGGCAGGUGGAAUUCCCGGUGUAGCGGUGGAAUGCGUUGAUAUCGGAAGGAACUCCGGCGGCGAAAGCGAUGCACUGGCUGAUUUCUGACGCUGAGGUGCGAAAGCCAGGGGCGCAAACGGG
This 253-nucleotide ribosomal RNA is filed under the name uncultured bacterium. Its description in RNAcentral is "partial 16S ribosomal RNA". It matches the Rfam family "Bacterial small subunit ribosomal RNA", at positions 524 to 776 of the family's 1533-position model. The record is from RNAcentral.